Nematolebias whitei (Rio pearlfish) is the source of this 583-nucleotide long non-coding RNA. RefSeq lists it as uncharacterized. NCBI's taxonomy places the organism in Eukaryota, Metazoa, Chordata, Actinopteri, Cyprinodontiformes, Rivulidae. The record is from RefSeq and is a predicted model, not a curated record. The transcript has 4 exons.
GCUAUGAAUGGGCAGAGAAAGGUUGUUCUCUCAAAGGCACCGUCACCGCCGUGAAAUGAGGAGUGCCAUCCACUCCGCUGCACGUCCGCCGUGCUGAGAAGACGAGGAAGAGGAGGCGGAAGCAGGAGUUGUCCAGCAGGAGCUUUUAAGGAACAAAGUGAGCCGACCUUCAGCUCAGAGUCUCAGCUGAGGAAGAAAAAUCAAGUCAGCCAUGGAGCGAAAGCCAAACGAGUGUCCCACCACUUCUCCACAGAAGCACAUGAAGAGCAGAUCUAAAUCCACUGAGGAGGUGCAGCAGUCAAAAAAGGCCUUUUCCUCCCAAAAGUCCCUGCCAGGCAGGCCCGAGCUGGAAAGAGUGAAGGUAAACCUAGCAUUUAUUUAAAAUAAUUGUAUAUAAUUUCCUCUGAGUUGGCUCUGUUUCUCUACUUUAAUCGUUAAAUCUGAAUUAAAAAGACAUAAAUGCUCUAUCUCUGUGCUGCAGGAGUGUCCAGACGGCUCUGAUACGCCCUCGUCUUCCACAGAAGAACUGAAGUGAUUAAAAAAAAAAAAAAACUAAUAGAAAAAUGUACAUAUAUCCACAGGA